AUACUUACCUGGCAGGGGAGAUACCAUGAUCAUGAAGGUGGUUUUCCUGGGGUGAGGAUUAUCCGUUGCUCUCCGAAUGUGCUGACCUCUGUGAUUUCCCCAAAUGCAAGAAACUUGAUUGCCCACUUUGUGGUAGUGGGGGAUUGCUUUCAUGCUCUUCCCUG
Jaculus jaculus (lesser Egyptian jerboa) is the source of this 164-nucleotide small nuclear RNA. Its record names the gene U1. It matches the Rfam family "U1 spliceosomal RNA". From Rfam's summary of the family: U1 is a small nuclear RNA (snRNA) component of the spliceosome (involved in pre-mRNA splicing). The record is from Ensembl. NCBI's taxonomy places the organism in Eukaryota, Metazoa, Chordata, Mammalia, Rodentia, Dipodidae.